AGGACGAACGCUGGCGGCGUGCCUAACACAUGCAAGUCAAGGAGGUGUAGCAAUACAUCAACUGGCGCACGGGUGCGGAACACGUAGGUAAUCUGCCUCUUAGGGGAGAACAACCAGUCGAAAGAUUGGCUAAAUCUCCGUAAUGUCGCGAAUUGGCAUCAAAUUGCGACCAAGUUCUCUAAGAGAUGAGCCUGCGUCUGAUUAGCUAGUUGGUAGUGUAACGGACUACCAAGGCUACGAUCAGUAGCUGGUCUGAGAGGAUGAUCAGCCACACUGGGACUGAGACACGGCCCAGACUCCUACGGGGGGCAGCAGUGAGGAAUUUUCCGCAAUGGAGGCAACUCUGACGGAGCAACGCCGCGUGCAGGAUGAAGGUUUUCGGAUCGUAAACUGCUUUUCUCGGGGACGAGCAAGGACGGUACCCGAGGAAGAAGCCCCGGCUAACUACGUGCCAGCAGCCGC
This 462-nucleotide ribosomal RNA is filed under the name uncultured bacterium. RNAcentral describes it as "SSU rRNA". It matches the Rfam family "Bacterial small subunit ribosomal RNA", at positions 26 to 518 of the family's 1533-position model. The record is from RNAcentral.